RNAcentral lists this transfer RNA (60 nucleotides) under Nippostrongylus brasiliensis. It matches the Rfam family "tRNA", at positions 6 to 65 of the family's 71-position model. From Rfam's summary of the family: Transfer RNA (tRNA) molecules are approximately 80 nucleotides in length. Their secondary structure includes four short double-helical elements and three loops (D, anti-codon, and T loops). Lineage: Eukaryota; Metazoa; Nematoda; Chromadorea; Rhabditida; Heligmosomidae. The record is from Rfam by way of RNAcentral.
GGUGGUUCGGUAGUAGAAUGCCCGCCUACCACGCGGGCGGCCCGGGUUCGAUUCCCGGCC